AGGAAUUUUCGGCAAUGGAGGAAACUCUGACCGAGCAACGCCGCGUGAACGAUGAAGUAUUUAGGUACGUAAAGUUCUUUUAUUAAAGAAGAACAAAUGAUGGAAAAAUCAUUCUGACGGUAUUUGAUGAAUAAGCCCCGGCUAACUAUGUGCCAGCAGCUGCGGUAAUACAUGGGGGGCAAGCGUUAUCCGGAUUUAUUGGGCGUAAAGGGUGCGUAGGCGGUUAAAUAAGUCUAUGGUAUAAGUUCAACGCUUAACGUUGUGAUGCUAUAGAAACUGUUUGACUAGAGUUGGAUAGAGGCAAGUGGAAUUCCAUGUGUAGCGGUAAAAUGCGUAAAUAUAUGGAGGAACACCAGUAGCGAAGGCGGCUUGCUGGGUCUUAACUGACGCUGAGGCACGAAAGCGUGGGGAGCAAACAG
This 419-nucleotide ribosomal RNA is filed under the name Candidatus Phytoplasma prunorum. RNAcentral describes it as "bacterial SSU rRNA". It matches the Rfam family "Bacterial small subunit ribosomal RNA", at positions 357 to 775 of the family's 1533-position model. Lineage: Bacteria; Bacillati; Mycoplasmatota; Mollicutes; Acholeplasmatales; Acholeplasmataceae. The record is from RNAcentral.